UACGUAGGGUGCAAGCGUUAAUCGGAAUUACUGGGCGUAAAGCGUGCGCAGGCGGCUUUGCAAGACAGAUGUGAAAUCCCCGGGCUUAACCUGGGAACUGCAUUUGUGACUGCAUGGCUGGAGUGCGGCAGAGGGGGAUGGAAUUCCGCGUGUAGCAGUGAAAUGCGUAGAUAUGCGGAGGAACACCGAUGGCGAAGGCGGCCUCCUGGGAUAACACUGACGCUCAUGCACGAAAGCGUGGGGAGCAAACAGG
Molecule: ribosomal RNA, 253 nt
Filed under: uncultured bacterium
Lineage: Bacteria
Description: partial 16S ribosomal RNA
Rfam family: Bacterial small subunit ribosomal RNA
Source: RNAcentral